This 57-nucleotide transfer RNA is filed under the name Bos taurus (domestic cattle). It matches the Rfam family "tRNA", at positions 8 to 63 of the family's 71-position model. From Rfam's summary of the family: Transfer RNA (tRNA) molecules are approximately 80 nucleotides in length. Their secondary structure includes four short double-helical elements and three loops (D, anti-codon, and T loops). The record is from Rfam by way of RNAcentral. RNAcentral also lists the same sequence under 3 other names. Lineage: Eukaryota; Metazoa; Chordata; Mammalia; Artiodactyla; Bovidae.
UGGCUGAGAUGGUAAAGCAUCUGUCUGCAAUGCAGGAGACCCAGGUUUGAUUCCUGG